Molecule: small nuclear RNA, 106 nt
Organism: Mustela putorius furo (domestic ferret)
Lineage: Eukaryota; Metazoa; Chordata; Mammalia; Carnivora; Mustelidae
Source: Ensembl
GUACUCACUUUGGCAGCACAUUUGCUAAAAUUGGAAUGAUACAGAAGAUUAGCACAGCCCCUGUGCGAGGUUCACAUGCAAAAGACCAGUAUGGAGCCUGGACAGA